Molecule: long non-coding RNA, 695 nt
Organism: Chenopodium quinoa (quinoa)
Lineage: Eukaryota; Viridiplantae; Streptophyta; Magnoliopsida; Caryophyllales; Amaranthaceae
Exons: 2
Source: RefSeq, a predicted model, not a curated record
GAAAUUGUUGGGCACCUAUUUGUGAGUGUAAUGCAAAGGAUUUGAGCAAAAUUAUAUGAAAUUGGAUUGGUUAUAAGAAUUGAUUGUGAAAAAUUAAAGGUACUUUGAAACAAGCAAAAAUACGAGAACAUGUCCAUAGUUUGCUUAUUAGUCCAAAAAGACAACUAAAGUAACAACUACGUGAGUAUAAAAUAUCAACACCCAAGUUAACAAUGACCAAAAGAACUUAUCUACUACCUUUAAAACUCGGAUUUUCACAUUGUUUAGCAAAUGUAAACAGUGAUUUCUCAAAGGAAUAGUGACUUCCCGAUUUUGCCCUUUUUUUUUAAAAAAUGCCCUUCUGUCUUCUUCUUUUAAUCCUUCUUCUGUAUGCAAUCAUCUUAUUUUUUCAUUUCACUUGAUAUUACUUCUCCAUAUUGUUUUUUUUUUUGCUUUCUUCGCUAUCGCCAUUGUUGAAGCAGAUUGCGAGAUGAGGAAGAAGAAGAAGAGAAUAGUAAGAGAAGUAUCCCAUUACUCAAUUAGUGACACUUGGAGUGUACUUCCAUUUGAAAAUGAUAAUAUGAGUGGAAGUACACUACGAAGUGUCACUCAUUAAGUCGUAGGGAUGUCAAUUGCCAAGAGCUACGAGUCAAGAGUGCAACAUAUUGUAAUAAUUAGAUUUAAAAUAAAUUCAAAUCAAAUCAAAUGCAUUUUCA